RNAcentral lists this ribosomal RNA (315 nucleotides) under Triticum aestivum (bread wheat). RNAcentral describes it as "partial small subunit ribosomal RNA". Lineage: Eukaryota; Viridiplantae; Streptophyta; Magnoliopsida; Poales; Poaceae. The record is from RNAcentral.
AUGGCUACGAACACCUUGGCAACCCAGCACAAUAAAUGUAGACGAACCAUUAUACAGGACGUUACCUGCAUCAUAUGUGGAAACAGAGAGGAAAACGAGCACCAUGUUGUGGUUGACUGCACCAAAAGUAGAGCUCUCAGGCAGGCCAUGAGGGAGCACUGGAAUCUGCCGCCUGAAAAGGCCUUCCGUGACACUGAUUGUGACUGGCUGCGGGUCUUACUUGAUAGAGUGACGGAGGAUAUCCGUGCAAAAAUCCUCCUACUGCUCUGGAGAUGCUGGUACCUACAUGAUAAUUGUGUCCAUGCAGGGGGACAG